RNAcentral lists this unclassified non-coding RNA (2750 nucleotides) under Agrilus planipennis (emerald ash borer). RNAcentral describes it as "b9 domain-containing protein 2, transcript variant X1". The record is from RNAcentral. Lineage: Eukaryota; Metazoa; Arthropoda; Insecta; Coleoptera; Buprestidae.
UUGUAAACAAAUCUGUAUGUUUUUUGUCUAAUGUUAAAUAAUGUUAACAAUAAAUGGCAGAGGUACAUAUUCUUGGAAAUAUUAAAACUGCAAAAGGAUUUCCCAAGCAAAACUUAUUUUGUAACUGGAGCUUUCAAUUUGGAAAUAACUGGAAUCUAAUUUCUGGAAAAGCUGAGGGGAAAACUUUUUGUUCCUCGUCAGAAGUAGAUGAAGUUUGCUACUGGAAUUUACCAUUCGAUCUUCAUUUUGCUAUAAGUGGCAUUGUAGGUUGGCCAAAGCUUUAUCUUCAAAUUUUUCAUUUAGACUGGGUAAAGAGAAGCCACUUGUAUGGCUACGGAUUUUUAAACGUUCCUACAUCCCCAGGUUUACACAUUUUAGAUUGUUAUACCUGGAGGCCCCUCGGUAGUUUAAAAGAAAGAUUUGUUCAAUUUUUCAUUGGGGGUUCCCCCCAACUUAAAAACCCAGAUUUAAUAUCGUCUCUCGAUGACAGACACAAAUUGAUUACCGAAAGUAUGGGCAUAGUGACUGUAGAACUUAAUCUGGUAACCAGAAAUUUUCAAAAAUACGGAAUUGAAUACAACUGAUCAAUAUUACGAACAAAUAAAACAAUGACGAUCUCUUGGUGCCUUUUUUGGGCUUCGAUCGGUUUAAUAGUGGUACUAAAAGUUGACAGUCACUCUGGUACUGAAAUUGAACUAGAAAAUAGUAACACUUCAAGUGAUUAUGCAGAAUCAACAGCUACUGAUGAUUAUUUAACAACGAAUUCUUAUGAUUCUACGACUUGUUCUGCAAAUGGUUCUUGUGGUUUAACAACUCCAAAGUUUACUACUCAAUCAACAGUUGCAACCACAACAAAAAAAAAUUCGAAAAAUUUGACCACAAUCAAAAGAAACACAUCAAUAAGUCGUAACAGAACUUCUUCAUGCAACUGUAACUUGCAAUUGAAUUAUUGUGAUAUAAAUUGUUGUUGCGACAAAGAUUGCAAUUAUGAGGAUAAAAUGGUCUUUGAAAAAUGCAAUAACGUAACAUACACCAAGCAGGACAUUCUUCCUUUUUGUAAUAGCGGGAUUAAUAAUUUUGAUUUUCAUCGUGAUAAUAAAUGGUGGAUUUUCGAUAAUAAUUUUCUUUGCGUCGAAAGAUCAAAUAUGCCCGAAGGAUACAACUACAACAAGCAAAAAAAGUCGUUGAAAGCACUUGAAAUUCUACAGCCUUAUUAUAAAGAUGACCAGCGUUAUUGGCCAAAUACCGACAAUAAUGUUAUUAAUAUUAAUUUUAACAAAAGCUUUUCCGAAAAAUUGAAAUUUGGUGGAAACGUUUGGCUUCUGAAAGACAACGAAAUUGUUUCCUUCGUUAUGUCGGACUCGUUUAUUACAAGUGCUUGUCUGAUAAAAAAAGAUGUAAAAUAUUUGGUGGAUGAUACCACGAGGUGCAGUUUAACUUCAGUUGAUAAUGAUAAUACUAAUAUUCAUGCAGAAACAUUUUAUAAGAAUUUGGUCUUUAUAUCAUCGCCUAAAGCUUUCAGUGUUUUAUGGGAUCGAAAAAAACAACCGAAAUGCCCGAAAAAUGUUUGCAUUUUUCCUAAGGUUUCAAUUUGCGACGAGAAUUUCGAAAAUUGUAAAGAUAAAUUAAUUGGUAAAGGCAAUUGUUCUUAUUCUUAUCGCGAAAACUUAAUGACUUGUAAAAAUAUCGUGAAAAAAAUAAUUUACGAAAUAUUCCAUAAGGGACAGGAGGGAAUAAUUCGGGUUAAUUUAAAAAUUAAUUUGCAAAACUUUUCGUACCCUUUCGGAUCCGAGGAUAUCGACUAUUUUCAAGAGUUUUCGGUGAAAUUUUAUUGGCACAAUUACCAGCUUAAUUAUUCCAAUUUAAUGAGCGGUAACCCGGGUUAUUUAAUCGGUAAACCCAUUCUGGUAACUCGUCUAAAUGGUACAUUUAAUUUUUCCGAAAUCGAAAACGUCAAUAUGUCUUUAUCGGUGUUGAGAAAUGACACAUUUUAUUUGGAAAAUUUCUUGGCUUUUCCUUCGUACAGUCAUAGACGUUGCGUUUUAAAUAAUCGGGAAAACACCCCAGUCGAAUUCGGAUAUAAUACGAUUUUGAAAUGUAGAAUAGAGGAACAAAUUAUUUCCAAAAACAAAUCGGCAAGCGAGAUAUGCAGAAACAUGCAAAAAAUUGUUUUCCAAUUUUGGUCUGUCUUCGAUGACAAUAACACCACGCGCGUUUUCGGAAAAUAUGGAAAUUCGGAUCGGACUAAAUCAGGCGAUUGGAUUAGCGGGUUUUUUACGAAAAGCUAUCGGAAUAUAAUGAACGUAACCCACGGCAAUUUUACCAAAAAUAAUAAAACUUUAUUGUGCUCCAAUUUGAAUACAAAACUUCGUGUGAACAUUUUCCAUUCGCGUAUCGAUUUUGAUGGAACUCAAAAUCAAGAAAUUGUAUUAGGAAUGCUAUUCAAUUUUACUGGGAUAAAAACUGGCCUGGAAUAUCAAAAUGGGAACAACAAAAGUAUAAUGUUUUCAACCCCUAUUGUGAUGGAGGUUGUUUUUCACGACAUAACUUCCAAAAGUGACCAGCAAACGAUGGAUGACAAUUUUGUUUCAUUGGAAAACAAAAAUUUACCUCACGAAUUUUUUUAUUCUCUUACUGGUGUCGUAAAAAAUGACGCAGACCUAAAUUUUAUUCUCAAUACAGUGCACUAUACUUUACUAAUUAUUUUGAUAAGAUAUUUGUUCUAAUUGUAAAUUGUAAGGCACAUUUAA